UACGAGGGGGGCAAGCGUUGUUCGGAAUUAUUGGGCGUAAAGGGCGCGUAGGCGGUGCGGUAAGUCUGAUGUGAAAUCUCCGGGCUCAACUCGGAGUCUGCAUCAGAAACUGCCGUGCUUGAGUGUGGGAGAGGUGAGUGGAACUGCGAGUGUAGAGGUGAAAUUCGUAGAUAUUCGCAAGAACACCAGUGGCGAAGGCGGCUCACUGGCCCGAUACUGACGCUGAGGCACGAAAGCGUGGGGAGCAAACAGG
RNAcentral lists this ribosomal RNA (253 nucleotides) under uncultured bacterium. Its description in RNAcentral is "partial 16S ribosomal RNA". It matches the Rfam family "Bacterial small subunit ribosomal RNA", at positions 524 to 776 of the family's 1533-position model. The record is from RNAcentral.